UGCGUAGGCGGGUCUUUAAGUCAGGGGUGAAAUCCUGGAGCUCAACCCAGAGCCUGCAUCCGAAACUGGAGGGCUAGGGUUCUGGAGGGGAAAGCGGAAUUCCUGGUGUAGCGGUGAAAUGCGUAGAUAUCAGGAGGAACACCGGUGGCGAAGGCGGCUUUCUGGACAGAUACCGACGCUGAGGCACGAAAGCUAGGGGAGCAAACA
RNAcentral lists this ribosomal RNA (207 nucleotides) under uncultured bacterium. RNAcentral describes it as "partial 16S ribosomal RNA". It matches the Rfam family "Bacterial small subunit ribosomal RNA", at positions 568 to 774 of the family's 1533-position model. The record is from RNAcentral.